This 255-nucleotide long non-coding RNA is filed under the name Lathyrus oleraceus (garden pea). RNAcentral's name for it is "Pisum sativum (pea) long non-coding RNA (PSAT_LNC028886)". The record is from RNAcentral. Lineage: Eukaryota; Viridiplantae; Streptophyta; Magnoliopsida; Fabales; Fabaceae.
UGAAAUGUAAACUCUUCUACAUGUUGUACUCUGAUAAAUUCUUUAAAUAUGUCGUUUGGGUAGAAGGGUGUUACAGUUUGUAAGCCAUGAAACCAAUCACCAUACGCCACCUCAUUUAGUUAAACGCAGCGCUUCAUGAAGCGCGCGCUGGUUUUAAAUUGAAGCACGGAUCGAUUCCGCUUGAGUGCACUUUUCACCUUUGGCUUGGCAUUUAUUUCACUUAUGUUCAUCAUGUUUCACCAUGCCUAGUUCUUG